GGGGCUGAUUCUGGAUUCGACGGGAUUUGCGAAACCCAAGGUGCAUGCCGAGGGGCGGUUGGCCUCGUAAAAAGCCGCAAAAAAUAGUCGCAAACGACGAAAACUACGCUUUAGCAGCUUAAUAACCUGCUUAGAGCCCUCUCUCCCUAGCCUCCGCUCUUAGGACGGGGAUCAAGAGAGGUCAAACCCAAAAGAGAUCGCGUGGAUGCCCUGCCUGGGGUUGAAGCGUUAAAACUAAUCAGGCUAGUCUGGUAGUGGCGUGUCCGUCCGCAGGUGCCAGGCGAAUGUAAAGACUGACUAAGCAUGUAGUACCGAGGAUGUAGGAAUUUCGGACGCGGGUUCAACUCCCGCCAGCUCCACCA
RNAcentral lists this transfer-messenger RNA (362 nucleotides) under Salmonella enterica. It matches the Rfam family "transfer-messenger RNA". From Rfam's summary of the family: Bacterial tmRNA, also known as 10Sa RNA or SsrA, is named for its dual tRNA and mRNA-like properties. Its role is to liberate the mRNA from a stalled ribosome. To accomplish this part of the tmRNA is used as a reading frame that ends in a translation stop signal. Lineage: Bacteria; Pseudomonadati; Pseudomonadota; Gammaproteobacteria; Enterobacterales; Enterobacteriaceae. The record is from RNAcentral. RNAcentral also lists the same sequence under 1 other name.